Molecule: ribosomal RNA, 274 nt
Filed under: uncultured bacterium
Lineage: Bacteria
Description: partial 16S ribosomal RNA
Rfam family: Bacterial small subunit ribosomal RNA
Source: RNAcentral
AUACAGGGGGUGCGAGCGUUAAUCGGAAUUACUGGGCGUAAAGAGUACGUAGGCGGUUGCUUAAGUCAGAUGUGAAAGCCCCGGGCUCAACCUGGGAACUGCAUUUGAAACUGAGUGACUAGAGUUUAAGAGAGGGGAGUAGAAUUCCGGGUGUAGCGGUGAAAUGCGUAGAGAUCCGGAGGAAUACCAGUGGCGAAGGCGGCUCCCUGGCUUAAAACUGACGCUGAGGUACGAAAGCGUGGGUAGCAAACAGCAUUAGAAACCCUAGUAGUCC